CGUAUGGACCGAGCGUUGUCCGGAAUCAUUGGGCGUAAAGGGUACGUAGGCGGCCUAGUAAGUUAGAAGUGAAAUAAUAUAGCUCAACUAUAUAAAGCUUUAAAACUGUUAGGCUUGAGAGAUGAAAGGGAAAGUGGAAUUCCUAGUGUAGCGGUGAAAUGCGCAGAUAUUAGGAAGAAUACCGGUGGCGAAGGCGACUUUCUGGUCAUCAUCUGACGCUGAGGUACGAAAGCGUGGGUAGCAAACAGGAUU
Molecule: ribosomal RNA, 252 nt
Filed under: uncultured bacterium
Lineage: Bacteria
Description: partial 16S ribosomal RNA
Rfam family: Bacterial small subunit ribosomal RNA
Source: RNAcentral